This 211-nucleotide long non-coding RNA is filed under the name Lathyrus oleraceus (garden pea). Its description in RNAcentral is "Pisum sativum (pea) long non-coding RNA (PSAT_LNC025391)". Lineage: Eukaryota; Viridiplantae; Streptophyta; Magnoliopsida; Fabales; Fabaceae. The record is from RNAcentral.
CCAUUUUGAUUGUCUUGAAAAGAUCUAAAACUUUUAAGUUGGAGGUGUUUUCAUUUGGGGCUUGCAUCAUGGAAACAGAGGGGCUUGAAAAUUGGCCAAUUUUAGAAACUUUGCCUUGACAUGUCAUGCACCUUGCACUUUAAACUCAAAUUUCAUAAAUUUCCACACUUCAAAUGGAUUUUUUCUCAACAUAACAAUUGUUCCUUACAUC